UACGUAGGGUGCAAGCGUUGUCCGGAAUUAUUGGGCGUAAAGAGCUCGUAGGCGGUCUGUCGCGUCGGAUGUGAAAACCCAGGGCUCAACCCUGGGCCUGCAUUCGAUACGGGCAGACUAGAGUUCGGUAGGGGAGACUGGAAUUCCUGGUGUAGCGGUGAAAUGCGCAGAUAUCAGGAGGAACACCAGUGGCGAAGGCGCCGCUCUGGGCCGAGACUGACGCUGAGGAGCGAAAGCGUGGGUAGCAAACAGG
This 253-nucleotide ribosomal RNA is filed under the name uncultured bacterium. RNAcentral's name for it is "partial 16S ribosomal RNA". It matches the Rfam family "Bacterial small subunit ribosomal RNA", at positions 524 to 776 of the family's 1533-position model. The record is from RNAcentral.